Molecule: microRNA precursor, 83 nt
Filed under: Bombyx mori (domestic silkworm)
Lineage: Eukaryota; Metazoa; Arthropoda; Insecta; Lepidoptera; Bombycidae
Description: mir-2807 microRNA precursor family
Rfam family: mir-2807 microRNA precursor family
Source: Rfam by way of RNAcentral
UGAAGUCAAAUUUGUAUGGAGUUGGAACGUUUGCCUAUGUUUGCCGCUAGAGACACUGUCCAGCUACAUACAAAUUUCAGGUA